RNAcentral lists this ribosomal RNA (231 nucleotides) under uncultured bacterium. Its description in RNAcentral is "partial 16S ribosomal RNA". It matches the Rfam family "Bacterial small subunit ribosomal RNA", at positions 15 to 244 of the family's 1533-position model. The record is from RNAcentral.
GAUCCUGGCUCAGGACGAACGCUGGCGGCGCGCCUAACACAUGCAAGUCGAACGGUGAAGGGGAGCUUGCUCCUCGGAUCAGUGGCGGACGGGUGAGUAACACGUGAGCAACCUGGCUCUAAGAGGGGGACAACAGUUGGAAACGACUGCUAAUACCGCAUGAUGUAUCGGGAUGGCAUCUUCCUGAUACCAAAGAUUUUAUCGCUUAGAGAUGGGCUCGCGUCUGAUUAG